UCUCACCGGCGCAUAGGUAGGUGGAACCAAAGGUGGAGGAGCUUCCCACUGAGUCACGCGCCCCGCCGUGAAGAGAGCCACCAUAGAUCUUAAAAGGUAAAACUAGAUCUGGCGGUUCAUUUAGCCCUAAAAGCCGACCUCCCUCACGGGUACCGCUUCAAAUCCUCACCGCUCCUCCAAGACCGUCGAUUGCCACGUUACCUUUAACCGCUAAGGGGUCGCCAGUGAAGAAGCCGAUAGGUUCAGAGCAGAAAAUAUAUCGGUUCUGAAGUGAGGUAGAAGAAGAGGGAAGCAAAAGAAAAAAAAAAGAAACAGGGAAGGAGAGUUUACCUCCGGCAUCGGCAGGGCACCGAACCGGAGUGGAGGCGGCGCUGUUUUGAAAGAGAGUUUUUAGGUAACACCGCCAAAUUAGAACCAUAACAUAGCUUAUUCAAAUCUCAACAAUAUUAAUAAAAAAAAGCUAUUUCAGUUGCACAUACACAGUCUGUUAACCUCAUAUAACAUAAGUAUCAUAUAACAACAAACACACACCAUCUUUUAACCUCAUCUUAGUUGCGCAUAUUAGAAGUAUUAAAACUUAUUUCUCACCAAUCAGAAAGAUUGAAAUUUGUAUCCCUGAACGUUUGAUUUGGUUUUAAUGGUUUGAACGUAAAGUCAUACCAAAAUAGUAUGUUCUGAAUCAAAUUUAAUACCUAACCCAUCCUGAGAUCCAAAUACA
This 718-nucleotide long non-coding RNA is filed under the name Brassica rapa (field mustard). RNAcentral's name for it is "long non-coding RNA (BRAP_LNC007628)". Lineage: Eukaryota; Viridiplantae; Streptophyta; Magnoliopsida; Brassicales; Brassicaceae. The record is from RNAcentral.